This 253-nucleotide ribosomal RNA is filed under the name uncultured bacterium. RNAcentral describes it as "partial 16S ribosomal RNA". It matches the Rfam family "Bacterial small subunit ribosomal RNA", at positions 524 to 776 of the family's 1533-position model. The record is from RNAcentral.
UACAGAGGUCCCAAGCGUUGUUCGGAUUCACUGGGCGUAAAGGGUGCGUAGGCGGUCGGGUAAGUCUGAUGUGAAAUCUCAGAGCUCAACUCUGAAACUGCAUUGGAUACUAUUCGGCUUGAGGUGUGGAGGGGGGACUGGAAUUCUCGGUGUAGCAGUGAAAUGCGUAGAUAUCGAGAGGAACACCAGUGGCGAAGGCGAGUCCCUGGACGAAUCCUGACACUGAGGCACGAAAGCUAGGGGAGCAAACAGG